Molecule: ribosomal RNA, 400 nt
Filed under: uncultured bacterium
Lineage: Bacteria
Description: partial 16S ribosomal RNA
Rfam family: Bacterial small subunit ribosomal RNA
Source: RNAcentral
AUACGGAGGAUCCAAGCGUUAUCCGGAUUUAUUGGGCUUAAAGGGUGCGUAGGCGGACUGGUAAGUCAGCUGUGAAAGUUUGCGGCUUAACCGUAAAAUUGCAGUUGAUACUGUAAGUCUUGAGUGUGCAUGAGGUGGGCGGAAUUUGUGGUGUAGCGGUGAAAUGCUUAGAUAUCACGAGGAACUCCAAUUGCGAAGGCAGCUCACUGGGGCAUAACUGACGCUGAUGCACGAAGGUGUGGGUAUCAAACCGGAUUAGAUACCCCGGUAGUCCAGGGUGUAAACGCUGCAGACUUGGUGUUGGGGACCCUUCGGGGGUGUUCAGUGCCGGAGAGAAGUUGUUAAGUCUGCUACUUGGGGAGUACGUCCGCAAGGAUGAAACUCAAAUGAAUUGGCGGGG